UUUCCGUAGGUGAACCUGCGGAAGGAUCAUUACUGAGUGAGGGCCCUCUGGGUCCAACCUCCCACCCGUGUUUAUUAUACCUUGUUGCUUCGGUGAGCCCGCCUCACGGCCGCCGGGGGGCAUCUGCCCCCGGGCCCGCGCCCACCGAAGACACCUAGAACUCUGUAUGAAGAUUGCAGUCUGAGCAAAAACUAAAUAAGUUAAAACUUUCAACAACGGAUCUCUUGGUUCCGGCAUCGAUGAAGACGCAGC
Molecule: unclassified non-coding RNA, 252 nt
Filed under: plant metagenome
Description: partial contains small subunit ribosomal RNA, internal transcribed spacer 1, and 5.8S ribosomal RNA
Rfam family: 5.8S ribosomal RNA (bases 205-252)
Source: RNAcentral